AGGCAGCAGGCGCGCAAUUACCCACUCCCAGCACGGGGAGGUAGUGACGAAAAAUAACGAUACGGGACUCAUCCGAGGCCCCGUAAUCGGAAUGAGUACAAUUUAAAACUUUUUCCGAGGAUCAAUUGGAGGGUAAGUCUGGUGCCAGCAGCCGCGGUAAUUCCAGCUCCAAUAGCGUAUAUUAAAGUUGUUGCGGUUAAAAAGCUCGUAGUCGAAUCUGUGUCCCGCGCCGCUGGUUCAUCGCUCGCGGUGUUCAACUGGCGUGUCCGCGGGACGUCCUGCCGGUGGGCGCACGUAUUGCUCCGGUGGUGCGUGGCCCAACUCGUAGCCGUCUCGCGCGGUUGCGAAUCCCAUCGCGGUGCUCUUUAUUGAGUGUCGAGGUGGGCCGGCACGUUUACUUUGAACAAAUUAGAGUGCUUAAAGCAGGCCAAUUUUGCCUGAAUAUUGUGUGCAUGGAAUAAUGAAAUAGGACCUCGGUUCUAUUUUGUUGGUUUUCGGAACCCCGAGGUAAUGAUUAAUAGGAACGGAUGGGGGCAUUCGUAUUGCGACGUUAGAGGUGAAAUUCUUGGAUCGUCGCAAGACGGACAGAAGCGAAAGCAUUUGCCAAAAACGUUUUCAUUGAUCAAGAACGAAAGUUAGAGGUUCGAAGGCGAUCAGAUACCGCCCUAGUUCUAACCAUAAACGAUGCCAGCUAGCGAUCCGCCGACGUUCCUCCGAUGACUCGGCGGGCAGCUUCCGGGAAACCAAAGCUUUUGGGUUCCGGGGGAAGUAUGGUUGCAAAGCUGAAACUUAAAGGAAUUGACGGAAGGGCACCACCAGGAGUGGAGCCUGCGGCUUAAUUUGACUCAACACGGGACACCUCACCAGGCCCGGACACCGGAAGGAUUGACAGAUUGAUAGCUCUUUCUUGAUUCGGUGGGUGGUGGUGCAUGGCCGUU
This 938-nucleotide ribosomal RNA is filed under the name Dalotia coriaria. RNAcentral describes it as "SSU rRNA". It matches the Rfam family "Eukaryotic small subunit ribosomal RNA", at positions 423 to 1292 of the family's 1831-position model. The record is from RNAcentral. Lineage: Eukaryota; Metazoa; Arthropoda; Insecta; Coleoptera; Staphylinidae.